AACACCCAAGUUCAUUAACACCUACAGGUGGCGAACCUGCUAAUGUUUCCACAAGACUGUCUAGAAUAGCCAGUGGUCGUCAUCUAAACUCCGCUAGAUGACUCAAUCAAACAACAACGAGGCCUCUCAUCUGUUUAUUACACACCAACUGUCUACCCAUGUUCUACCCAACAUAUUAGUAGAUAAAAAUAUACAUUUGUAUACAUAGUUUAAAGAAAACCUGUAUAGCAUGCUUUAAUCAACACAUAUAUCACAUAACAGAUGAGGCACACACACACAUAACACAUAUCUCAUAAAGAAAUAAGCAGAUCUAUAAGAUAGAAGAGAGUGAAUACUCAUUCACACAUAACACAACCAAAUAUAUACACAUAGCACGUAUUUUUAUAUAAAAUACUUCGUAUUAUUGUAUUAGAAGAAAUAACUACACACUCACUUGAUCAGAAGAUGAUCGGACAGCACUACGGCUUAUAGAAGUAGUAAUCCACAGCAGAUCUGGAAGAUCUUCUCGAAAAUCGAACUUCUCGCGGGCAGAGCUUCGACUCGGGAACCGCACUUUUCGGGAUCUUCGGGAUCUCGGGACUUGCCUCGGGGCUAGAGUAUGAUACCGGGACUUCGGGGUAGCUUCGGGGGUUUUUGCACAGAGCUUCGACACGAAAACGAGAGGGAAUUGGCAAAAAUACCCGGAACCCUCGCAUCCUAUUUAUAGGAGGCUGGAGCCUCGGAGUACGCGGGGCGUACUGCGUUACGCGGGGCGUACUGCCCAAAACGUCAUUGCUUACGUAUCCGAAGUGCUCGAGUGCGAGUGUCGACAUCCCUCGGAGUACGCGGGGCGUACUCGAGUACGCGGGGCGUACCUCGGAUCAGAUCGGUGACUCCUUCGGAUAAUGCUUCCGAAUUUUGAUUUAAAUAUAAAUACAAAAUGAUUAAUAAACUUCGGAAAUUCAUAACUUCUUCAUACGAACUCCGUUUUCGACGUUCUUUAUAUCCACGCGAAGGUGAGACCACGCUCUACGACUUUCGUUUAGACUCCGUCGGCUAAUUUUGACUUUAUUUUUAUUAAUUAUUUUUAAUAGGCCGCGACAGAAACUUUCGUUAUAAAUUCAUAACUUCUUCGUUUGACGUCCGUUCUCGCCUAACUUUUUAUCGCUUCGAUACCAACAAUGAGAUCUUCGAUUCUCAUUUAGAUUGCUUCGGCUAACAACCGCUCGAUCUCAAAUCGAGUAAAACAGGCUGUAUAUCGCUAAGCCGGAACUUCGAUAAAUCAUAACUUCCUCAUACGAAGUCAGAUUUGGGCGUUCUAUAUAUAUUCGGAAACCUCGUUUCAACUACUACAACAUUAACCAAAUAUAUUAAGUUUAUUUUACACUUAAAUUUUGACGCUUAUUUUUAUUCUUAAUUAAUCAAACCACAUAAUUAAGCAAUUAAGCACAAAACACACAAUACUCAAAUAAUACAAUCUUAUUAUUUCAAAACGGGUUACAGAGGUUAACCUAGACUAUUACAUUGCUACAAAUGGCAAGCCCGAAACACAGGCGUUACAAUUCUCUCCACCUUAGAAUGAUUCCGUCCCCGGAAUCACACAUCAACAAACAAAUGCGGAUAGCGACUCAACAUGUCACUCUCCGUCUCCCAGGUGAGAUUCGGCCCAUUCGUGUGUUUCCAUCGGACAAGCACUAACCCAACCAUUUUGCGUCGCAACUUCUUAGUCUUUCGGUCAACAAUUGCCUCUGGUUCUUCAAUCAACCUUUUGUUCUCAUCAAUUCUCAAUUCAGAAAUUGGAAUUAUAUCGGGAACUUCUCCCGUGAACUUCCUCAAAUAACACACAUGAAAGGUGUUGUGAAUUCCAUUCAGUUCUUCGGGUAAUUCGAGCUUGUAAGCUUGAUUCCCAAUCCUCUGAAGGACUCUAAACGGUCCAAUAAACCUUGGACUCAACUUUCCCCUUUUACCAAAUCUUAUAAGUCCCUUCCACGGCGAGACUUUAAGCAAAACCGAAUCUCCAACCUCAAAAGUCAUCGGUCUUCGCUUCUUGUCAGCAUAGCUCUUUUGACGAUCUUGAGCUGCUAACAUUCUUUCCCUAAUUAUUUUCAACUUUUCAGCAGUUUGAUGAACCAACUCCGGUCCCAUAAACUGCUUUUCCCCAGCCUCAAGCCAACAAGACGGCGUACGACACUUCUGUCCAUACAAAGCUUGAUAAGGUGCCAUCUUAAUGCUCGAGUGAAAACUAUUAUUAUAGGAAAAUUCUACCAACGGUAAAUGUUCAUCCCAAUUACCUAGGAAUUCCAAGGUACAUGCUCUCAGCAUAUCUUCAAGUGUUUGUAUUGUUCUUUCACUCUGACCAUCAGUCUGCGGAUGGUAAGCUGUGCUUAAACAUAACUUGGUACCCAUUUCCUCUUGUAGACUUUUCCAAAACCUUGAGGUGAAACGGCUAUCACGAUCCGAUACAAUCGUUAACGGAACACCGUGAAGCCUCACAAUUUCCUUCACGUAAGAAUUCGCAAGCUUUUCCAUAGACCAUUUCUCCCUGGCCGCUAUGAAAUGCGCACUCUUAGUGAAUCGAUCAACGACCACCCAAAUCAUGUCGUGACCAUUCUUUGUUCUGGGCAGUUUAGUGACAAAAUCCAUAGCAAUGUCUUCCCACUUACCCAUAGGCACAGGCAAAGGUUCUAAACUCCCGUACGGUUUCUGAUGUUGUGUCUUGACUCUCGCACAAGUCACACACUCGGCCACAUACUUUGCAACAUCAAGCUUCAUCGUCGGCCACCAGUAGUAGGGUUUCAGGUCCCUAUACAUUUUAGUGCUACCCGGAUGAAUCGAGUACAUGGUCUUGUGAGCUUCUUCCAUCAGAAGAUCUCUAAUUCCUCCUGACUUAGGUACCCAAAUACGAUCUUGGAAUACCUUCAGUCCAUGACCGUUAGUACCAAACACCAACGUUUUACCCAAACGUUCCUCCUUUCGGUCAUUUUUCUCAGAAGCUUCCUCUUGAGCUUUCUUUAUACUUUCCACAAUGGUCGAGACAACUUCAAUUCUCAACGCUCUUGGCCUCUUCCUUUCAAGAUUGACCUUCCGACUGAGAGCAUCAGCAACAACAUUAGCUUUACCGGGGUGGUAAAGUAUCUCGCAGUCGUAGUCUUUAAGUAAUUCUAGCCAGCGUCGUUGCCUCAUAUUCAAUUCUUUCUGAUUAAAGAGGUAUUGGAGACUCUUAUGAUCAGUGAAAAGUUUGCACUUCGUGCCAUAGAGGUAAUGCCUCCAUAUUUUCAGAGCGAAAACUACCGCUGCCAACUCCAAAUCAUGAGUCGGGUAAUUCUUUUCAUGCUCUUUCAGCUGUCGAGACGCAUAUGCUAUCACCUUUUCUCUUUGGGUCAAAACACAACCCAAUCCAACACCAGACGCAUCGCUAUAAACAGCGAAGUCUUCAACUCCAUCGGGUAGAGAAAGUAUCGGUGCCUCGCAUAGCUUCUUCUUUAACUUCUCGAAUGCUUCUUUAUGCUUCUCACUCCAAGCAUAAGUAGCUCCUUUGUGGGUCAAAGCUGUUAAUGGAGUAGCAAUCGAAGAAAAGCCUUGGAUAAACCUUCGGUAAUAUCCGGCUAAUCCUAAAAAGCUUCGAAUCUCCGUGGGACUUUUCGGUUGUUCCCACUUCGUCACAGCUUCGAUCUUCGCUGGAUCAACCAUUAUCCCUUCUUGGUUGACCACGUGACCCAAGAAUUGGACUUCACGAAUCCAAAAAUCACAUUUGGAGAACUUCGCAUAAAGCUUCUCCUUCUUCAAAACUUCUAACACUUCUCGCAAGUGUCUGCCAUGCUCCUCCUGGCUUUUCGAGUAGAUCAGAAUGUCGUCUAUGAACACUAUCACGGAUUUAUCAAGGAAAGGAUUACAAACCCUAUUCAUCAAAUCCAUGAACGCUGCUGGAGCAUUGGUUAGUCCAAACGACAUAACCAAGAACUCGUAGUGUCCAUAUCUAGUUCUGAAUGCAGUCUUCUCGAUAUCUUGCUCUCUUACUUUCAGCUGAUGAUAUCCUGACCUAAGAUCGAUCUUCGAGAAAUAGCUCGAACCUUGCAAUUGAUCAAACAGGUCAUCAAUCCUCGGCAACGGAUAUCUAUUCUUUAUUGUUGCCUUGUUCAGCUCUCUGUAAUCGAUGCACAUUCUCAUACUUCCAUCUUUCUUCUUUACAAAUAACACCGGAGCUCCCCAGGGCGAUGAACUAGGUCUAAUGAAACCUUUGUCCAAUAACUCCUGAAGUUGCAUCAUUAGCUCCUUCAUCUCCGUCGGUGCUAAUCGAUAAGGUGCUUUUGCUAUUGGCGUGGUUCCUGGUAACAAGUCUAUUCUGAACUCCACUUGUCUAUCAGGUGGUAAUCCAGGAAGAUCCUCGGGAAAUACUUCCGGAUAAUCACACACCACUGGAAUGCUCUGCAUCACCUUCUUUUCUUUCUUAGCAUCAAUCACGAAUGCUAAAUAUGAUGUACAUCCCUUGGUCAAACACUUUCUGGCUUUCAUUAGAGAAAUGAUUCCAGAAUUCACUCUGCGUUUGUCCCCAUACACCAUAAACGAAUCUUUUCCAGGCGGGUUUACUUUAACUAUCUUCUUCUUGCACAAAAUUUCGGCAUCAUUGGCGCUAAGCCAAUCCAUUCCCAAGACGAUGUCGAAACCAUUUAGUUCGAUAGGCAAUAAUUCCUCGAGAAACUUAUUCCCAUUAAGGUCGAUCAAGACGUUUUUCAUACGAUGGCUAACAGGUACAAACUUGCCACUAGCUACUUCGACUAAUAAAGCAUUAUUUAGUCUAUCAACAGGCAAAGCUAGCUUUCUACCAAACUCAUGCGAAAUAAAGGAGUAGUUGGCUCCAGAAUCAAACAAUAUAUGAGCAGGUAAUUCGUUUACGAGAAAGGUACCUGAAGCGACAUCAGCUUCAUCUUUCGCAGCCUCAAGUGUCAUCUGGAAGGCUCUCGCCUUCGGCUUUGGUGGAAUGUUGGGCCUAGCUGCCUCCUUCUUCUUCGGACAGUCUUUCAAAAUAUGCCCCUCUUCAUUACAACCAAAACACAUCCUUUUGUUGUUCGGACAUUCAUUGGCAAAAUGUCCAACCUUUCCACACUUGUAGCAGGUCACAUCCUCGCUACAUUUCCCAAAGUGCUUUUUCUUACACUUAUCACACCACUUUGCUUCGCCUCCUUUUCCUCCAAACUUUUUCGAAUCAGAUUUCGAAAAUUUGCUCUUCUUACUGGAACCAGAUGUUCCUUCAAACUUCCUUUUCUCACCAACCUCAACCUUGACGGUGGUUCUCCCCUUGAUCAUGUUCUCCACAGACUUGGCAGCCCAGAUAGCUGCCUCUAGAGUAAGUGCCUGACGUACCGGCACCUCGUACUCCCAUGGAAGUCCCUUCGCAUACCGAUCCACCUUUGUCAGCUCGUCUGGAACGAUACGCAAGGCAAACUCCAUCUUAUCGGUGAAGUUAUUGGUGUAUUCAUCAACUGACAUGCUACCCUUCGUCAAUGUCAAAAACUUAUUCUCCAACUCCAACAGAUUUUGAGCCGAGCAGAACUUGCGCUUGAACUGCACCAAGAACUCUGCCCAUGACAAUUGCAGUGGCUCAUUAGGGCUUAAGGUCUUCCCUAGAGUGUUCCACCAACGAACGGCUCCACCUCGGAAUUGUCGCACGGCAUAGAUAGUCUGCAACUUGCCUCUACAGCCACAUGUCAUAAAGGCUAACUCCAUUUCGGAGAUCCAAUCCAUAACCCCAAUCGGAUCCUCCUUUCCAUUGAAGGUCGAUGGUUUACAAGUCAAAAAGUCCUUGUACUUGCAUCCCAUUCCAUCAUUCCUUCCAUCAUGGUUAUCUUGCCUAACUAUCGGUGGGUUGGCUGGACCAACAGACCCACUGAAGUUUCCACCUUCCGAGUGCCCUUCAUUCAGUUCAGGCUCUUCCACACGAAUCGACAGUUCUUCACGAUUUUGUUGAAGCAACCGUCUAGUUUCAUCCAUCUGACGAUCCAACAUCGUCUGAAUCAUCAAUUGCACACCAGCCAUGGUUAUUGGCUCAGGUGCUGCUGCUACGACAGGUAUUGGCUCAAUCACUGGUGGUUGAUUCCUGUUUUCGUCAGCAUUUCCAACUCCACUUCUUGUUCUCACCAUUUUGAUCUACACCGAAUAAGGUGAAAUUAGAUCCUCAAUCAUGAUAGAUAUUCAAAUCAUCCUUAUCACUCCGAAACGUUUACAUGCUAGUUCUAAUAUCGUAGACGUACGCUUAGAAUCCUACACACAUAAGGUUUCUAGAUCCGGUCGGCAACAGACCAUAGAUCCGAACAAAUAAUAUCAUAUAUGGCAACAUAUAACAUUUAGCACAUAAAGCAUUUUAGGCAACUUUCCUAAAAUAAACUAGUGCUCGUGUCUAAAUCACAACAGACACACAUCUCAAAACUUCACUUAGCAUUCUAAGUUUAAGUCUAGAAAUCCUACAAAUUCCUAGUUCGCUUAAACUAAUGCUCUGAUACCAACUGUGACAUCCCCAAAAUCUCGGCCAGAAAAGACCGAUUUUCAUUUAUGCUUUUAAAUAUUUUCAGAGUAAAUCCUUUUGAUUUGAAAGAGUUGCGGAAUUUGUUCCCAAAAACAAAACAUGAUAAAACAUUGUUUACCGAAGCAUUUCAUAAAAGAAAUGUAUUUUCAUUAUAAUCAAAACUCGGGGUGUCAUGUUCCGAUACAGACCAAUAAGCAUAAACGAAUACAUUACAAGUCAUAUAACAAAUAUAAACAUAUGCAGACUUGUAAACAAAACAACUUGAUGGUUCAUCCAUCUCAUGCCCUUCCGCCACUACCUGUAAUACAAUUUAAAACUGAGUGGGUCAGGCUUGGGAGCCUGGUGAGCAUAUAGGGUUUUCAACCCACAAUAAAUAUCAUAUUUAAUUUUCACCAACCAACAAUAACCCAAUUACCCAUUCCCGUUAUUCUCACUUUAAUGUCCCUAAAACAACUAACAUAAGGGACCUAGUCUAAGAAUAUUUCAUCGGGGCGACAACACAUGCUUCGGGGGUACCUCAGCAAUAUAAGUCAAAUAAGGCAACCAUGAGGGGGAUGGAGUACAGCGAAUGAACACCCAAGUUCAUUAACACCUACAGGUGGCGAACCUGCUAAUGUUUCCACAAGACUGUCUAGAAUAGCCAGUGGUCGUCAUCUAAACUCCGCUAGAUGACUCAAUCAAACAACAACGAGGCCUCUCAUCUGUUUAUUACACACCAACUGUCUACCCAUGUUCUACCCAACAUAUUAGUAGAUAAAAAUAUACAUUUGUAUACAUAGUUUAAAAACCUGUAUAGCAUGCUUUAAUCAACACAUAUAUCACAUAACAGAUGAGGCACACUCACACAUAACACAUAUCUCAUAGAGAAAUAAUCAGAUCUAUAAGAUAGAAGAGAGUGAAUACACAUUCACACAUAACACAACCAAAUAUAUACACUUAGCACGUAUUUUAUAUAAAAUACUUC
RNAcentral lists this long non-coding RNA (7463 nucleotides) under Lactuca sativa (garden lettuce). RNAcentral describes it as "long non-coding RNA (LSAT_LNC009447)". Lineage: Eukaryota; Viridiplantae; Streptophyta; Magnoliopsida; Asterales; Asteraceae. The record is from RNAcentral.